RNAcentral lists this ribosomal RNA (465 nucleotides) under uncultured bacterium. RNAcentral's name for it is "bacterial SSU rRNA". It matches the Rfam family "Bacterial small subunit ribosomal RNA", at positions 8 to 518 of the family's 1533-position model. The record is from RNAcentral.
AGAGUUUGAUUCUGGCUCAGAACGAACGCUGGCGGCAGGCCUAACACAUGCAAGUCGAGCGCGCCCUUCGGGGUGAGCGGCGGACGGGUUAGUAACGCGUGGGAACGUACCCUUUGGUAGGGAAUAGCCACUGGAAACGGUGAGUAAUACCCUAUGAGCCCUUCGGGGGAAAGAUUUAUCGCCAAAGGAUCGGCCCGCGUUAGAUUAGGUAGUUGGUGGGGUAAUGGCCUACCAAGCCUACGAUCUAUAGCUGGUUUUAGAGGAUGAUCAGCAACACUGGGACUGAGACACGGCCCAGACUCCUACGGGAGGCAGCAGUGGGGAAUCUUGGACAAUGGGGGCAACCCUGAAUCCAGCCAUGCCGCGUGAGUGAAGAAGGCCUUAGGGUCGUAAAGCUCUUUCGCCUGUGAAGAUAAUGACGGUAGCAGGUAAAGAAACCCCGGCUAACUCCGUGCCAGCAGCGGC